Non-coding RNA from Caretta caretta (loggerhead turtle), 232 nucleotides. The record is from RefSeq and is a predicted model, not a curated record. NCBI's taxonomy places the organism in Eukaryota, Metazoa, Chordata, Testudines, Cheloniidae.
CAUGGAGCAAAGAAUCACUGAGACAAGGAUGAGGCCAAGUGGUAAUGUCACUGUAUCGGCAUCCAGCUGCAUUUUGCCUAAGCUCACGGCUUUGGAACUUCCAUCAUUGCUAAGGCUCCAUAGAGGAAAACUACCCGUCACCACUGCCAUCCGGCUGUAGAGAGAAGAGACUAAAAGACUGGUGCUGUGUGGUUCACCUUGUUGCCAUUACAGAUUAAAUUGUUUACCAUUA